Molecule: long non-coding RNA, 2580 nt
Filed under: Nicotiana benthamiana
Lineage: Eukaryota; Viridiplantae; Streptophyta; Magnoliopsida; Solanales; Solanaceae
Description: long non-coding RNA (NBEN_LNC017787)
Source: RNAcentral
CCUCCCCUAUCCCCCAUCUCUCAUACCUCUCACUUAAGAGAUCUCUCCAUCGUCUUUGCUGCAUGACACCGCCGGAAAUCACCCCACGGUGGCGGCAGGCCUCCGAUGGCCACCAUUUUUACACCAUAGAUUCCCCUCCUUCUCCUCUUUCCAAAUCUCCUAAACCUUUCCCUCGAAUCCCAUCUAAAACCCUCGAAUAUUGAAUCAAAAAGAGUGACUAAAACCCUAACUCAUCCAAUGGGCCCCAAACUAACACCAAAGAAUCCCCAGGCCUCCCUCAUCCUAAAUCUGUCGCCAUUUUCCGACGAAUCAUCUAGGAAAUGCUCAAAUUUAAAAUCAAUGCAAGCCCUUAAUUCCCAAAGGUCCCCCAUUAGUGUUUGAAGAUUUGGGUUCAUUGCAAUGUUACUCGUGUGUUCUUAUUAAGAACACACGAUUAAUAUUAUAGUGGGCCAAAAAUCCGAAGUUUUGGAGAUUCGAUUCGAUUUCUUUGCUGGGCAGUGGCGUUUAUGUAUUUUUUUUGAACUGCGUUUGUUUGUUUCUCUCUUCUGUGCUUCAUCUUUGUUCUUCUUCUAAAUGCCAUGAUUCAUGUUUGUAAAAACGAAAAAAGAGAGAAAAGAAUUAAUAUAUAUACUGUUUGCUUAUUAGAAUGUUGAAUCAUUUAGAUUUUUUCUUUCUUUAAGUUAGCUGGGAAUAUGAAUUUGUUCCAGAGUCGUGAUAUGUAUGUCAGUUUCUGCCUUUCUUUUCCUUGUUUUCUUUUUCAAAAUUGUUUCAUGAUUUAGUAGCAUGAUCUAAGGACUCUUAGUGUUUGUACUGUUUGUUCAUAUCAUCUAUAUUAGUACAUGCCAAUGUGCUUGCUUCUGAGCUAGGCAACAUUUCGAUUUGAGGCAAUUAUGGACUCUAUUGAUGUUUGUUAUCAUUUUCAAAUCACUAGAUAGUUUGAGGGGGUUAAGUGAACAAAGAAAACUAGGGAAGGGGACAAUUGAAUAAUUAGAAGCUUGAAGGGGCUAAAGGGUCGGGUAAAAAAACAUGGGCGUCCAGGGUCAAUUCAGGGAUUUGGGGGUUUAAGUGAAUCUUUCUUGUUAGGAGGAAACUUUAGAGGAUAAGGUGAGAGCUGGUUUUUCAAAGAGCAGAGGGUUUUCAGGUAUUUUAAAAGGGGUAAGAUGGGUAAAACAGUCAAAAAGAAGGGUAAAGAGGAAAUUGGUUAGUUAGGCUAUGGCUGCCUUAGGCAUGCCUAUAAAAAGACCUCUUAACUCUCAUUUUCAGCAGCUUGAACAUUCUGAAAAAUAAGAAGAUUGAGAGAGCUGAAAACUAAAAAAAAAAUAAAAAUACAAAAGCUGGAAGACUUUACUGUUUCAUAGAUUUCUAGGAGCUAAAAUAGAAAAAAAACUCAGAAAUGGCUGAAAAAUAUAUAAACAUAUUGUUCCAUUGAUUUUGCUGAAUUUGGAAGUUUUUAUACUAUGAAACAACCUGCUUAUCCAUCGGGAACGAAAAAUGAGUUGAUUUCUUGGUUUUGAAAGGCUGGUUUGGGUGUUCAUUCUUUGGUUUUACUGUUUUGUUGUUGAAAACUGAGCUGAUCUUGUUGAAUCUGGGACUGUUCUGUGUUGCAGCUGUUAUUACCCUCACUUCUUUCCUUUUGCCAUUUCCAGGAACAUUACUUCCACAUACUACCUUAUGAAAGGCCUGAUUUGGAGUUGAAAUAAGAAUCUGAAGUUUUAAGAACGGCCACAACUGGUUUUGUCCUGUAAUUUAGUUUGACAUUGUUCUAAUUGUUUGUUGUGAGUUCUAUAGUACACUAUAUUUUGUUGUUUGCUGAUGAGUACUUUGUUGAGAAUUGAAUCUUGGUAAUUAACGGGGACUCAACUUUUGACUGAAUAUCUCAUAACUGCUCUAAAGUUUAAAUGGCCUGUUUAGUCGAAUCAUUAGCUAGUUUUUGUACGUUCGUCCAUGCUAAAUGGUAUUAUAUGAGUUGAUUGUGAACUUUUGGUUCAUGGUUAAAUGGUAGAUUCUUGCAUAAUAUUAAUUUUUGUUGAAUUAGUAUGGGUUUUUAAUCGAAUAAAUGAUUUCUAAUUGUGAACUCUUUCAUAUAGUUUUUAAUUGAACGCAUUGUUGGUACAAAUGGGUGGUUUGAUUUCUUCCAUAGAGAUAACUAGCAUAAUGUCGUGUUAUAAGAAGGAAGAACAGGUCUAUUCUGCUUAAAAAGCAGAAGAAAACACACUGAUUUAUCUCUGGGGGGUACGUGACUGAUUUUAAUCCAAAAGUGCUUUGAAAACUGAAGUACCUCGCCCAUUUGAAUACUUAACAUAAUUGGCCAGUUAAUGUUUUAAUAGUUUCCAAUUUCUGCUAUGUAGAAGAUUAUCAUGUGAGUGUGUAUAAACUAAAGUGUUUUUCAGUAAAUUACAAUCAGUGUUUCAAUGACUAGUAAUGGCUGAUUGAAUUUUUGUGGUUGUUCAAUAUCAGACUCUAUGGAUCUAGGAGGUUUAAAUCCCUUUGUUAAUACAUGUUCGUUAAAAUUGGUCGCUUUCUGUCGUGGUCUAGGUUCGAUACAUGCACCUCCCCGGUACUCCGCUGGUGUGGGUUUCA